RNAcentral lists this microRNA (20 nucleotides) under Macrophomina phaseolina MS6. RNAcentral describes it as "miR-669n". Lineage: Eukaryota; Fungi; Ascomycota; Dothideomycetes; Botryosphaeriales; Botryosphaeriaceae. The record is from RNAcentral.
ACUUGUGUGUGUAUGUGUGU